This 333-nucleotide ribosomal RNA is filed under the name uncultured bacterium. Its description in RNAcentral is "partial 16S ribosomal RNA". It matches the Rfam family "Bacterial small subunit ribosomal RNA", at positions 338 to 663 of the family's 1533-position model. The record is from RNAcentral.
CCUACGGGAGGCAGCAGUGGGGCAUAUUGCGCAAUGGGCGAAAGCCUGCCGCAGCGACGCCGCGUGAGGGAUGAAGGUCUUCGGAUCGUAAACCUCUGUCAGCAGGGAAGCACGGUCACUGUGCUAAUAAGCAGUGAAUUGACGGUACCUGCAAAGGAAGCACCGGCUAACUCCGUGCCAGCAGCCGCGGUAAUACGGAGGGUGCGAGCGUUAGUAGGAAUUACUGGGCGUAAAGCGCCAGUAGGCGGUAUGUCAAGUAGAGGGGGAAAUCCCCGCGCUCAACGUGGGAACUGCCUUUGAAACUGGCAAACUGGAGUGUGUGAGAGGAUAGUG